UUCCGGUUGAUCCUGCCGGACCUGACUGCUAUCGGAUUGAUACUAAGCCAUGCGAGUCCUUGUAGCAAUACAAGGCAGACGGCUCAGUAACACGUAGUCAAUCUAACCUAUAGACGGGGAUAACCUCGGGAAUCUGAGAAUAAUACCCGAUAGGCCAUUAUACCUGGAAUGGUUUAUGGCUCAAAUGAUUUAUCGCUGUAGGGUGGGACUGCGUUCUAUCAGCUUGUUGGUGAGGUAAUGGCCCACCAAGGCUAUAACAGAUACGGGCUCUGAGAGGAGAAGCCCGGAGAUGGGUACUGAGACACGGACCCAGGCCCUAUGGGGCGCAGCAGGCGAGAAAACUUUGCAAUGUGCGAAAGCACGACAAGGUUAAUCCGAGUGUUUUCUGCUAAAGAAAUCUUUUGUUAGUCCUAAAAACACUGAUGAAUAAGGGGUGGGCAAGUUCUGGUGUCAGCCGCCGCGGUAAAACCAGCACCUCAAGUGGUCAGGAUGAUUAUUGGGCCUAAAGCAUCCGUAGCCUGCUUUGUAAGUUUUCGGUUAAAUCCAUAUGCUCAACAUAUGGGCCGCCGGGAAUACUGCACAGCUAGGGAGUGGGAGAGGUAGACGAUACUCGGUAAGCAGGGGUAAAAUCCUUUGAUCUAUUGAUGACCACCAGUGGCGAAGGCGGUCUACCAGAACACGUCCGACGGUGAGGGAUGAAAGCUGGGGGAGCAAACCGGAUUAGAUACCCGGGUAGUCCCAGCUGUAAACUAUGCAAACUCGGUGAUGCGUUGGCUUGUAGCCAGUGCAGUGCCGCAGGGAAGCCGUUAAGUUUGCCGCCUGGGAAGUACGUACGCAAGUAUGAAACUUAAAGGAAUUGGCCGGGGGAGCACCACAAGGGUGAGCCUGCGGUUCAAUUGGUAGUCAACGCCGGGA
RNAcentral lists this ribosomal RNA (915 nucleotides) under uncultured archaeon. Its description in RNAcentral is "bacterial SSU rRNA". It matches the Rfam family "Archaeal small subunit ribosomal RNA", at positions 1 to 923 of the family's 1478-position model. The record is from RNAcentral.